UGGGGGAUAUUGGACAAUGGGGGCAACCCUGAUCCAGCGAUGCCGCGUGUGUGAAGAAGGCCUGAGGGUUGUAAAGCACUUUCAGUUGGGAGGAGUAUGUGAAGGUUAAGAGCUAUCAUAUAGGACGUUACCGACAGAAGAAGCACCGGCUAACUCCGUGCCAGCAGCCGCGGUAAUACGGAGGGUGCGAGCGUUAAUCGGAAUUAUUGGGCGUAAAGGGUGCGUAGGUGGGGAUAUAAGUUAUCUGUGAAAACCCUGGGCUUAACCUAGGGCUGAGAGAUGUUACUGUAUUUCUAGAGUAUAGAAGAGGGUAGUGGAAUUUCCGGUGUAGCGGUGAAAUGCGUAGAGAUCGGAAGGAACACCGGUGGCGAAGGCGGCUACCUGGUCUAAUACUGACACUGAGGCACGAAAGCGUGGGUAGCGAACAGG
This 429-nucleotide ribosomal RNA is filed under the name uncultured bacterium. RNAcentral's name for it is "bacterial SSU rRNA". It matches the Rfam family "Bacterial small subunit ribosomal RNA", at positions 355 to 776 of the family's 1533-position model. The record is from RNAcentral.